This 380-nucleotide long non-coding RNA is filed under the name Rattus norvegicus (Norway rat). Its description in RNAcentral is "long non-coding RNA NONRATT026450". Lineage: Eukaryota; Metazoa; Chordata; Mammalia; Rodentia; Muridae. The record is from RNAcentral.
CCAGGGGUAGCCUGGCUGCGUCUGCACCUCCUCCUGUCUCUCCUUCCUAGGACCAAGCUCCCGCAGCCCCGACUCGGACUCGGUGUCGCCGGACUCGUGGGGUGGCCCGGUCCUAGGACCCUGGGACCCCACCUUUACCAGCGACGCGCUGCCGUUCCUGGACAGGCUGCCGAAGCCCAAGGCGGGCCCCAGGCCGCCCUCCAUGCACUACUGCGAAGUUUGCAGGGUCAGCUGCGCGGGGCCGCAGACCUAUCGGGACCACCUGGAAGGGCAGAAGCACCGGAAGAAGCAGGCAGCUCAGAGGACCCGCACGCAGCCCAGUGGAGGUCCUAGAGGAUCCCAGAGCCUUCACUGUGGCCUGUGUGCUGUGUCCUGCACGG